CUGAAAAUGUGCAUGGGAUGAGGGAGGGGAACUUCUCUUCCCUGUAUCUUCCAGAAGGAAUCUGCACAGCUGGGAUGAGUGGGGACUGUUGGGUGCUUUCAUGCUUUUGAAAACCUGGCUGCUCACUUUUUAGACGCCUUGAAUGGCCCAAAUCUACAAAUGUCACCUUAAUUUUCUGAGACAACACAACAGUUCCUAAAUGGCUUUCUGUGUGUUUGUUUCCUAGGACACACCACCUUGCAAUUCCCUAAAGGCUCCAGAUAUAUCUAUAGGUAUUCUACAGCCACCACCACAUUCCUACAGGGACCCAUUUACAAAAGGAGUGGUGUUUCCCUUGAGAGCACAGUGAUCCUUGAAGCACUAGGAAAGUGCCAUAUGGUCUUAAAAAUGCAAGAAGUUCAGAUAAAGAAGACACGGGCAUCCAGGGAAGAUCCACUGAAAGGAAUAGAUAGUUUAAGGGAACUGCUAGAGCGGCAUCCUCUUCACUUUUCUUUCCACGAGGGGAGAGUUUUAACAAUCUCCCCACUGAGGAGUGAACAGACCUGGGCACUGAACAUCAAACGGGGCAUACUCAGUAUCCUUCAGACUGCACGUGCACCCACUGCCGAUGGAAUCGUUGAAGAGGUGGACAUUCUGGGAAAAUGCCCAACCAAAUAUCAACAAAAAGGCCCUAUUCUUUUGAAGACGAGAGACUUAAACCUGUGUUCUCACCGGUAUUCAGGUUUUACCUCCUUGCAGUCCAUUGCUCUACCUGGUGCAGUGUCCCAGCAGCAGCUCCUGUCUUCCAAAUUGGAAUGUGUUCAGAGCUUUAAGGAAGGAAUCCUAGCAGAGGCCAAAUGUACUGAGUCCAAUCUCCUUACCCCUUUCUCUAGGAAGGGCAGUGGAGCAAAGACACAGACACAGUCUGCACUAAAACUACUUCAAGUAGAGGCAGAGACCUUGUACAAGAAAGUGGACUGCAAGGAUCUCUAUGUGAGUGGUAUCCUAUAUGAAAAGGAAGAAACUGAGAGGCAAUCUACAGAAAAAGAUGUGGCUGAAAUAGUGCAAAAGCUCUGCUUGGCACAUAGCAUGAGUUUUGAG
RNAcentral lists this long non-coding RNA (1080 nucleotides) under Crocodylus porosus (Australian saltwater crocodile). RNAcentral's name for it is "lncRNA (ENSCPRG00005003760.1)". The record is from RNAcentral. Lineage: Eukaryota; Metazoa; Chordata; Crocodylia; Crocodylidae.